UCAUUUUCCGGGUACGAAGUUCGUGGCGAAGGCCCACGCGUUGUUGUUAACCGGGUCCGCAAGGUGGUCGGCGAGGUUCUCCAACGGCCCCUUUCCGGUAACAAUCGCCUGAACAAAGAAUCCGAACAUCGAGAACAUCGCAAGUCUCCCAUUCUUUAGCUCCUUCACCUUCAGCUCAGCAAAAGCUUCCGGGUCCUCAGCGAGGCCCAACGGGUCGAAGCUCCCACCCGGGUAAAGCGGGUCGACAACCUCACCGAGUGGCCCACCGGCAAUUCUGUAGCCCUCAAUAGCUCCCAUCAACACAACCUGGACACCCCAGAUGGCCAGUAUGCUCUGUGCGUGGACCAAGCUAGGGUUUCCCAAAUAAUCGAGCCCACCCUCACUGAAUAUCUGCGAUCCGGCCUUGAACCAAACCGCCUCGCCGAAUUUCACGCCGUUGCGCGCUAGAAGCUCGGGGAAGACGCAUCCGAGAGCUCCGAGCAUGGCCCACCUUGAGUGGAUCACCUCAAGUUCACGGUUCUUGGCGAAUGUUUCCGGGUCGGCCGAAAGCCCCGCGGUGUCCCAGCCGUAGUCACCGGGGAAUUCCCCGCUGAGGUAGCUGGGGGCCUCGCCGGAGAAUGGGCCCAAAUACUUGACACGGUCCGGGCCGUACCACGGGCUCCCGGACGAAGCGGGCUUGGGCUUGGGCUUGCCUGCGGUCUUCCUCAUUGAGAUCCUGCCGCCGGAGCUGGCGAAUUCGGGGGUCGACUUGACCGCCUGGCCGGCGAAAGACGGAGACGAUAGAGCCAUUGAAGAGGCCGCCAUUGAAGGAAGGGGAGUGUGUUUUUUUUUUCUUUUUGGGGUUUGUGAGUUGAAAG
Molecule: long non-coding RNA, 857 nt
Filed under: Erythranthe guttata (spotted monkey flower)
Lineage: Eukaryota; Viridiplantae; Streptophyta; Magnoliopsida; Lamiales; Phrymaceae
Description: long non-coding RNA (EGUT_LNC001255)
Source: RNAcentral